GAUGAUAAUCAGAUGGCUGCCUCUUACUUCACUUAGCCUCUUCUGAAGGCCAAAAUGCUAACCUACUCCCAUUACAGAUGCUUAACGUGUUAAAAUAGUCUCACUCUGAUGCUUCCUAGUUUCAUAGAUGACUUGAUUUUACAUCAAUAAUACUCAAAGUGCUUAUUCUAAACACAUACAGGCAGUGCAGAUGGAGGCAAUUGUUUCUGCAGCAACAAGGGCCACGUGAAAGUGAUAGGGAAACCUCUACUCCAUCACCGCGUCCGCUCCUCAGCUCACUCUUGCUGUAGGCCUGAGUUUACUGCUUCAUGGUUUUGAGAGAUUGAAAAAUCCAACAAUCUACCUUUGAAUAUGGACCACAGAAAAGAUAUUUAAAAGUCCAGUUCCCUUCCUAAGAUUGUCUGUGGAAUGACUUCAGAAGAGGAUCCAUCACACUGAAGGUGCAGAUCCUGACUCUAGAGAUCAGAGCUGCCUGACUGAGAGGUUGAUGGCUAUGGACACUCCAGGACAAGGCCCAUACCCUAUUAGCCCUGAGCUAACAUCUGCUGCCAAUCCUCCUCUUUUUGCUGAAGUAGACUGGCCCUGAGCUAACAUCCAUGCCCAUCUUCCUCUACUUUAUAUGGGGGACGCCUACCACAGCAUGGCUUUUGCCAAGCGGUGCCAUGUCUGCACCCGGGAUCCAAAGCAGCAAACCCAUGGACGCCGAGAAGCGGAACUUGUGAACUUAACUGCUGCACCACUGGGCCGGCCCAGGAGAUGACAUUUCUAUAUAGAAGGGUUUAGGACUGCAAUCUCCAGUGUGAGUGUGUGUGUUUGUGUGUGUGUGAGAGAGAGAACACAAACAUGAGCAAGGUGGGAUCGGGAAUUGGCUAAAGGACUGACCUUUCAAAGUUAAAUUUGCCUAGAAGACUAUUGUUUUUGCCCAGAGGUUUUUGUUUGGUUGGUUGGUUCUGGUUUUUUCACUUUUUGCAUGGUUUGUGGGAGUUACCCAAGAUUAGGGUACUUGUCUUGAAGCUUCGUCUGUAUCCCAUGCAAUUUGUCUUUAUUAAUGCUUAGGUAUGUGUUCAUCUGGGGUGGAUUGUGGCCUGUCGAACCAUCACUUGUGGAAGGCCCUGCAAAUCACUCUCUUCUCUAUGCCUCCCCCAUUUAUUAAAAUCUAGUUCAGACUCCAAAAGCAAAGUGCCUAACCACAAAGGUGACCUCCCUGUAGCCUUUAUAGGGACAAUAAUAUCUGUUUUUAAAUUUUACAUUGUUAAAAUACUGUAUAGUUUACAAAGAAAUUUCUGACCUGUGAUCUUACUUAAGAGUGACUCAACUUGCCAAGAAACAACAUUCUUAUUUUAGUGACACUGGCUUAAAGAUAAUUUAAUGUAACCCAGAUAUCGCAGACCUCGUCUGUCUGAAAGGUCACAUUUACUUUUCAUGACCAAAGCAUAAAGCUCAGGCCUCCACCAACCUGAUUGCUGGAAAUCAGACCUCUAUUUCCAAAAUGUCCGCUCUGUAUAACUCGGGAUACUUUCCAAGUGCCCCUCACAAGGCUUUCAGUUGCAGGCAUCACACAGGGUCCACGCUAUUCUUCCUUGCUUUAUCUUCCCCAGGUUGUUGCCCUCCAAGCCAGUGGGAAGAGGUUUCACCAUCAUCACUGCCCAUCUUGUAAGGCCUAAGGUCCACACCAAGGCUGCUAUAUCUAAAUGCUUUCCCAAGAUCCUAUCUUUGAGAUUCUAAGGCAUCACUGCGAGAAAAGCCUCCAAGAACUCCAGUUCAAGGUCUCAAUUUGGCCCUAAAGCAGCUCAGUUUGCUAUCAGUCUCAUUGCACAUGAAGAGUUUUCAAGGCUUUGGGCUGGAAACUCAGCCCUCGCUUGCCCAGAAUCUCAUUGAUUAUCACAUAAAAAUGCAAUUCUAUAGGUUUCUGGUGCCCAGGCUUCUAAACAGAGGAGCUCAAACCAAAUCCAAAGGGCCAGAUGGCAGACUAUGUUCGAGUGCUUCUCUGGAAACAGAUUCAGAGAUGGAGAGCUGCUUACCGGAGGUUCAUUGGGGAAAUCUCUUGAGAGUGACAGUACUGAACUUUAUCUGAGCCAUGGGUUCCCAGUAGGCAGUGGCAGUUAGGAACCCAACCACCACCACCACCAUUCUGUUUUUCUUCUGGAAAUGGCUAACCACAAAGGGCUACCCCAUCAUGGCAUAUUUGCAUAUACCCAGAUAAUACCAUGUCUAUAUUUCUACUUGGCCUCUGUAAUACUCCUGGAUGAAGUAAAUGAUUCCCUUGUCUCCUACCUUUAUAAAACUCCAGCCCCCUUCCUUUUCUUUGAGAAGAUCCUCAUUAAUGAAUAUUCUACCUAUUGCAAUAGCCCAAAUGAAAGCAUCUCCUUAAUUGCCAUAUGUAUUAUGUCUUUGACAGGAGACAGGCCUGUGAGGAGAUGAGGGAGGCCUGGUUGAGCAGUAGGAGAUGUCAACCUGCAGUGUGUUUGCAAAUGAGGACUCAGCUGAUUCUAUGAGGCCUCCAGAGCUGGGGUGGCCCUUUGGAGUUGUCUCAAAUUCAAGCAAGGCUGCCCAGUCUUUUUAUCCGUGGAUUAGCCCCCAGGAGGGGGGUAUAACCCAGGGCAAAGCAGUUCUCUGAGGUCUAGGGUGAUUCUCAGUGAGAAGAAGCAACUGUGAGCUUACAGCAGGCAAAUUCCCAGUAGCUUAUGAUGGUGCCUGAACAGGGGAUCUGGGCCAAGUCAUCCACUCCAUUGAUGGGAAACUAACCAUUGAUCCUUCACAUCUCUGCCCUCCUUCCGUCCCAGCCCUCAAGGAAAAUGUCUCCUUCAUCCUCAGCUGAAAAGUCCAAAGCUAUCAUGAAUAUCAGAGAGUGAAAAGGAUGUCAACAAAUCUGGAAUGGAGCUAAGAUACAGAGAAGAUAGUGAGGAGCAACUGAGGGAAGAGAAUGCCCUCUAUGUUCACUUCAGAGCUCUCAAGGUGGUUUUCUCCAGCUGUGCUUCACAGACUCUCCUGGGCUGGUCUCUUAAUGCAUUAAACUUGAUAAUAUGCCACUCUAUGCUUCUGUUUCUAUUAGCAAUUUACUCGUGAAUAUUUAAUAAAAAUAAAAUUAAAAAGCCAGCUGACACCAUUUGUUGCUACCUAAUCAAAGUCAGCUCAAGUCUCUCCACUUUUUCUGAGGAGAGGUUUUUCUUACUGAAUUGCAUAUGGAUUUGUACCACGUUGGGCUCAAGACAGAAAUAUUGCAAGUCACUCUUUGGUCAUAGUAAGCCUGAUUCUUUGUACAUCUUCUUUCCUUCUUCCCAGAAGCAUUUACCGAGCUCCUUUUUUGUGUCAGGU
RNAcentral lists this long non-coding RNA (3315 nucleotides) under Equus caballus (horse). Its description in RNAcentral is "lncRNA (ENSECAG00000044076.1)". The record is from RNAcentral. Lineage: Eukaryota; Metazoa; Chordata; Mammalia; Perissodactyla; Equidae.